Molecule: long non-coding RNA, 1047 nt
Organism: Oncorhynchus keta (chum salmon)
Lineage: Eukaryota; Metazoa; Chordata; Actinopteri; Salmoniformes; Salmonidae
Exons: 3
Source: RefSeq, a predicted model, not a curated record
CUGUAGUGACACCCGUGGCGGGCCAGGCGCAUGCACGGUCACCAGGUGUAUGGUGUUUCCUCCGAAAACAAAAUUGUUUUUUUUUUGUGGAUGUGUAUAAUGUGUAUGUAUAAAUUGUUUAAUAGUAAUGUUUAAAAUGACUAAAUCGGGUAAUUUUGUAUAAAUGUAUUUAAAUUUACAUUGGGUCGCUUCUGGGGGGAUUCUGGUAAGAUGACGGCAAAGUCAGCUGAAUUCCGAUAGACAGAAAUGGCCCGAUGUACUUGGGACGAUUCUGGGCAGUCAUUCAUUUUGAUUCUGAGCCGAGUCUGACACCCGAUUCUGGGGAGAUUCAAACAGUUCGGGUCCCCCGGAAGAGGACCGUUUCUGGCCCGAUUCCUCAUUGCUAGCUGGGGAGCUACAAUCCAGCACAAGUAACCUAGGUGCCUUCUAGGACGCCUGGGAGGAGCUGCUUCCUCACAGGCUGAUGUUUAAGCAACUCCACCCAUUCUUCCCCAUCAGCCAAUCAAAUUCAAACAGCAAACGUGCGAUUGAGAAAGAACAACUAUUUUCCACUGUAGUGACCUUCACAGCUAGCUAACGUUAGCACAUCAAAAAGGAGAGGCUCGGGAACUGUCCGCGAGUGUUGGGAGGCUGGUAGCCAGCAUGGUUGAUUUGAAGAACAUUCAUGUGGUGGACACGGCAGCCUCCAAAGGGGCUUAUGCAAACUCGUUGAAUUUAAUUUCAGCCAAUUAUGGACUUCCAUGACCGGCCCCUUCCUUUGGCUGUCACGACUUCCGACAAAGUCGGCUCCUCUCCUUGUUCGGGCGGCGUUCGGCGAUCGACGUCACAGGCUUUCUAGCCAUCGCCGCUCCAUUUCUCAUAUAUCCAUUUGUUUUGUCUUGUUUCAUACACACCUGGUUUUCAUUCCAUAAUCACACUGCAUGUAUUUAGUCCUCUGUUCCCCUCCAUGUCUUUGUGUGUAAUUGUAUAUUGUUACGUUGAUAUUUGUCAGGCGCUGCACUUUUGUUAUGUACCGUGUUUUUGGCACUAGUAUAUUUUAUGUGCUGU